UACGGGGGGGGCAAGCGUUGUUCGGAACUACUGGGCGUAAAGGGCUCGUAGGCGGCCAACUAAGUCGGAUGUGAAAUCCCCAGGCUUAACCUGGGAACUGCAUCCGAUACUGGAUGGCUUGAAUCCGGGAGAGGGAUGCAGAAUUCCAGGUGUAGCGGUGAAAUGCGUAGAUAUCUGGAGGAAUACCGGUGGCGAAGGCGGCAUCCUGGACCGGCAUUGACGCUGAGGAGCGAAAGCUAGGGGAGCAAACGGG
Molecule: ribosomal RNA, 253 nt
Filed under: uncultured bacterium
Lineage: Bacteria
Description: partial 16S ribosomal RNA
Rfam family: Bacterial small subunit ribosomal RNA
Source: RNAcentral